UAGGGGAGAAUGGAAUUCCUGGUGGAGCGGUGGAAUGCGCAGAUAUCAGGAGGAACACCAGUGGCGAAGGCGGUUCUCUGGGCCUUUCCUGACGCUGAGGAGCGAAAGCGUGGGGAGCGAACAGGCUUAGAUACCCUGGUAGUCCACGCUGUAAACGGUGGGUACUAGGUGUGGGGUCCUUCCAGGGUUCCGUGCCGUAGCUAACGCUUUAAGUACCCCGCCUGGGGAGUACGGCCGCAAGGCUAAAACUCAAAGGAAUUGACGGGGCCCCGCACAAGCGGCGGAGCAUGCGGAUUAAUUCGAUGCAACGCGUAGAACCUUACCUGGGUUUGACAUGAUCGGGAGUGCUCAGAGAUGGGUGUGCCUCUUUUGGGGUCGGUUCACAGGUGGUGCAUGGCUGUCGUCAGCUCGUGUCGUGAGAUGUUGGGUUAAGUCCCGCAACGAGCGCAACCCUUGUUCACUGUUGCCAGCACGUUAUGGUGGGGACUCAGUGGAGACCGCCGGGGUCAACUCGGAGGAAGGUGGGGAUGACGUCAAGUCAUCAUGCCCCUUAUGUCCAGGGCUUCACGCAUGCUACAAUGGCUGGUACAGAGAGUGGCGAGCCUGUGAGGGUGAGCGAAUCUCGGAAAGCCGGUCUCAGUUCGGAUUGGGGUCUGCAACUCGACCUCAUGAAGUCGGAGUCGCUAGUAAUCGCAGAUCAGCACGCUGCGGUGAAUACGUUCCCGGGGCUUGCACACACCGCCCGU
This 746-nucleotide ribosomal RNA is filed under the name uncultured Propionibacterium sp. Its description in RNAcentral is "bacterial SSU rRNA". It matches the Rfam family "Bacterial small subunit ribosomal RNA", at positions 652 to 1397 of the family's 1533-position model. The record is from RNAcentral. Lineage: Bacteria; Bacillati; Actinomycetota; Actinomycetes; Propionibacteriales; Propionibacteriaceae.